UUACGGCCAUAUCACGUUAAAAUACCGGUUCUCGUACGAUCGCUGAUGUGAAGCAAUGUCGAGCCUGGUAAGUAACUAGAUGGGUGACCGCUUAGGAAUAUCAAAUGC
Acanthosepion pharaonis is the source of this 108-nucleotide non-coding RNA. NCBI's taxonomy places the organism in Eukaryota, Metazoa, Mollusca, Cephalopoda, Sepiida, Sepiidae. The record is from the annotation of a GenBank genome assembly.